CCUACGGGUGGCAGCAGUGAGGAAUAUUGGUCAAUGGGCGCGAGCCUGAACCAGCCAAGUCGCGUGAGGGAAGACGGUCCUAUGGAUUGUAAACCUCUUUAAUCGGGGACGAAUUUUGACGGUACCCGAAGAAUAAGCUCCGGCUAACUACGUGCCAGCAGCCGCGGUAAUACGUAGGGAGCAAGCGUUAUCCGGAUUUACUGGUUGUAAAGGGCGUGUAGGCGGGCAUGCAAGCCAGAAGUGAAAUCUGGGGGCUUAACCCCCAAACUGCUUUUGUAACUGCGUGUCUUGAGUGAUGGAGAGGCAGGCGGAAUUCCCAGUGUAGCGGUGAAAUGCGUAGAUAUUGGGAGGAAAACCAGUGGCGAAGGCGGCCUGCUGGACAUUAACUGACGCUGAGGCGCGAAAGCGUGGGGAGCAAACAGGAUUAGAUACCCCAGUAGUC
This 442-nucleotide ribosomal RNA is filed under the name uncultured bacterium. RNAcentral describes it as "partial 16S ribosomal RNA". It matches the Rfam family "Bacterial small subunit ribosomal RNA", at positions 338 to 795 of the family's 1533-position model. The record is from RNAcentral.